This is a long non-coding RNA of Passer domesticus (house sparrow), 5359 nucleotides long. RefSeq lists it as uncharacterized. The record is from RefSeq and is a predicted model, not a curated record. NCBI's taxonomy places the organism in Eukaryota, Metazoa, Chordata, Aves, Passeriformes, Passeridae. The transcript has 4 exons.
UUAAACAUGACGUUCCUAAUUUUAAGAAUCUCCCAGCGGAUAACGAUUCUGGUGAUUCUGGCGUUUAGUUGAACUGGUGUUUAUUGCUUCUGGUCCUGUAAUACAGCAGUGGUGUAGAUACCUCCACAGCCCACAGCACUGCUGAGUACUGGAUUUGAUGCUGACAUUCUGUUUGUGCAACAGAGGUACAUACAGACUCCUUGCCAUUAUGUCAUAGUGACAAACGUCAUAUGAAAAGUUUUCAUUUUACAUUUUUCAACAGCAAAAAUGAAAUAAUGGAACGGUUGCAUAAAGUAAAUUACACUGCUAUUAAAUUACUGUAGGUUCUUACUGGAGUCUACAAGGAUAAUCUUAUUUCACUUUCUGUAUUUGUGUCCAAUUUUCGUUACCCGCUUUUUCUUACCCACUGACAUUAUCUAAUGACAGAGCUCAGGAAGAGCUCUUUCUCUUCUCUAAGGAUGCUUGAUGAGGCAGGCUGGCACUGGAAGUCUCUCUACAGAAACACUCGCCUGUUGCUGCUUCUCUCUCUAACUUGGCAGGGGAGCCCCGGGCUCCGGGAGCAGACGCACCGCGGGACCCCCUUCACGGUGGGGCGGGGGCACGGAUGCUGCCGCAUCUUCGUGAGACGAGGCAGAAGGGUCCCUGAGCGGGGCCGAGCCGAGCCGUCUCCUGCUUUCCAGCGGCGCUGGGCUCGCCCUCCCGUUCCGCGGGGCAGGUGUGACACGGCUGCGGCUCCGUGCGAGGCGUGUGCCGGGGCCGCGGGCUGGGCGCUCACCCCGCUCCUCGGAGGCGCCCUUGGGAACAUCGCCACGUUUAGGGGAUUCUCUCACCGAUAAUGACCCGCCGCCUCCACCCCCCGGGCAGCCGUCUGCCGGGACAAGGCUUAACGGGACGACUGCCGCUUGCUAGUACCUCCGCCGUUCCCGGGCAGACCGACACUGUCUUCCCGCGAAACAAAGACUGAUCCGGAUUUCAUCAAGGUUUCAUCAAGACCAUCCCAAAACAUUGUCCCUAUUUCUGGCCUACAACCAGACAUCAAAGGGACAGAGAGGAAUUGAAGUCUACACAGUGUGAAGAAAGCCCUUCCCACCGUGAUGGUGCUGCCCUUGAAGGCCAAAGGCACUGCUACAGCAAUGGGGAACACGACUGUGGUGCCAUUGAUGCCAGGGAAGGCGCUUGCUAGAGCUGAAACCAGCGGGGAAAGCUGCCAUUCCUACACAGAAGGAGAGCUUGCUGUUGCUUAGCAGCAGAGAGUUCCCCUAGGUCUGUUUGGAGAGGUGAACUAUGGCAGAAACUGGACAGUGUUCCCAGGAGAUCAGAAAAAAUAGAAAAGUUUAUUCCCACCCCAAAAGUUGAUUCCCACCCCAAAACCCCACUCAGUGUUCCCCCUGCCCAGUGGCAAGGAGCCCUUCUGCAAAGCUCUGCCCUUUUGGUUGUGGCAGAAAGCAUAGAACUGAUGUUGAACAAUUUUCUGUGCCAAACUACAAUUGCCGAGGCCCAGACAGCACCUAUGGAGAUAUUAUAGGUUUGACAGGUAGGAUUAAAUGAUACUGCCUUGUUCCUUGGCAGGGAAAAGGGGACAAAGUCUCAGUAAGUGUACUAAGGUCGUUGUUUAUGUGGUUUAAGACCAAGCUCAAAACACCAGUUAACACCACUGGCCUUUGAAUUCAGCUCUUGGUCACUCCACCAGGACAGGCAGUCAUUUCUCAGGCUGGUAAGUAAAUGUGACUCCCCUAAGACCUCUCUACACUAUGGUCCCAGGUGGCAUCCUAAAUCUUAGCAGGAAUGCUUGAUCAAGUUCAGGUUUAAAAUGCUGCCAGUAUGUAAAGCUGGGAGGUAUGUUCUUGCUCCAUCAUCCUUUCUAUUUGUCUCAGGACAGUCAUGAUCUGUUGUUCCUGCCAACAAGCAGCGGGUUUGGAAUGAAGUGAUCUUUAAGGUCCCUUCCAACCCAAACCAUUCCAUGGUUCUAGCAGACAUCUUAUUAAAGAAGGCUAUACAGUUUUUUUCAGAAUUCAUGAUGCAUAGUGAUGGUGGGUAGUACUGUAUAAAAAUAUGGUAUUUAUGCUCCCUAGCAUGAAUGGUGGUAGAUAAAGAAAGCCACCUAAGCUAAAUAUCUUCCAGGGAUUGGGGUUUGCAGGCAACUCUGUCUUGCUCGGUAGGCAGGUACCUCUGCAUCACUGCAUGUGUACACAGCCACAUCCUGAAACAGCUGAGUGGUGUGGCAGCAUAAAGUCCUCACAAAAGUGUUAACGUAGUCAUCUUCUCCUCCUUUCCCCGUGAAUGAUGGAUGCAGGCUGAUGUCCAGCUGCACAAGACAGAACUGCAUAAACAAGGGCUUGGACUUUGAUGAAAUGGGGCUUAGAAUUGAGAGAGCUGAGAGACCCAGACUGGAACCCUUUCUCUCCCUAAAGGAAUCAAAGAUAAAGCCCACAUCUGACUUCAGAGGGACUGUUAAGAGCAACAGCAAUGACUGCCAGCACUCAUUAGCUGAAGACACUGGAGUACAUGUAUAAAAGAAAUGCAAUUAUUCAACUGGAAUCAAAGUUUUGCAGAUAACUUUUAUGAUUUUUGACCUUUCUGGAAUUGUUUGUGAAUGGAUUCCUAUUUUAUCAAAUAAAUUAUGAUUCACAGCAUUUGCCAAAUAAUUUAGGUGAUCUAUGCAUGGUCAUGAGUGACUUCCACAUUACAAGCAGUUAAUAGAAUAAUGCUGGCCAUCUCCAGGCCCAAAGGAUUCCUGCAGAACUACAUCAGCUAGAUCAAGGAUAAAGGAUGCCAUACUUCCCUGGGGCUGCUCCUUCAGACAGCAUGCUUGAGGCCACUUCCAUUUCUGCCUGAAAUUAAAUGGAGAGGACUUGGCAAGCAGGAAAGCCACGCUGGUAUAACCAGGUGCCACGGUGCCUCAGCCUACAGGUUAUUGUUUAAGGAGGAUUCAUACUUGCUCUCUGUGGCACAUACCUUCUCACUUAACACUAUGCUGUUCUUCACCUCUCUGCUCCAUGCCCUGUGGAGGAAAGGAAGCCCUUACACGUGAGGCAAAUGUCAGCAGAAGCAGGAAAGGAUUCUGCUUCAAUCCCUCGCAAGAACAGGGCUGCCCCCUCACAGAAGGUGAGCUGGAAGAAAAGGGAUCCCACAUCCCACUCCCACUACUUGAGCAAGGCAAACAGAACACAGACAAAUUCAAGAAAAACCCAGAUCAUAAAAGUAUCUCAGCAAGGUGGAAGUCAGCUCCUCAGAUCAGAUUUAUGACCAGGUCCCACAACCACGAGGCAAGCCCACACUGAGAGGUGACAGCCAAGGUCAAGCAGAAAGUCAGCCCAGGGUGGGAGGCUCCAUCACGUGGCUGUCUCUUGGCUGGAGACCAUCACUCCUUCAGGCUCAGCUCAAGGGAACAGGCUCUGGGGGCUAAACUUAAACAGAGCUGCUGGUCCAUGGGUGAGGGUGGAGGCCCCAGCUGAGGCUGUCAGGGCCGUGAACACUUAUUAAUGCCCUCAGAGGCCUCACAUUGCUUUCCUAUCUGCACUUGCUUGGUCCCUUGCUGUCUGUAGGUGCAUUAUCAUGUAAACCCAACCAAAUCUGGAGACUGUGUGCUUAGAAACCAAAAUUAUGUUAUAGAAGUGAAACAGGUUCUAUCCAGGUGUAAUCUGGACAUGAACUAAAAUGUGCCAGCUCUCUGGGGAACAUUCUCACCCUCUUCUGAAGAAAGGAUAGCAAUGAGAUCUGUGGAACAGGACUGUCCUCGCUUGUAAAAUAAGCAUGUAUUCUAUUUUUGCCAUCUGUUGGGGGUUAGGCAGUUUUUCUUAUCUCUUUCAAGAACAAUGACACUGCCAGGAAGAUAAUCUCCUGCUGAUGGGCUAUUGAAUUACUCACUGUGGCUGGUAAGAUUAGUUACAUCAUCCCAUUGAGAGAUGCUCCACCCAGAGGGAGGAGCCAAGCAUCCCUGCCACCAUAAAACAAGCAUUUCUGAGACCACAGACAGCCUUCUUCGCUGGAUUUCCCAGAGGAAUCAGGAACCGAGGCCCAGCUGCUCCUUCGCCGCAUUUUCAGAAAGGAUCUACACCCUUCUGCAGAUCGCCGCUCCAGGAGGAGCAGCCACCAUCUGGCUGGACUGCUAUCAGCACCCUGACUUCUCAGGGUGUCAGGUUUUUCUCACUCUGCCAGUGGUUUUUUGCUUGUGCUAAAUUACAUUGUUAUUUAGUUUUUUUUCUUCCUAGUAAAGAACUGUUAUUCCCAUUCCCAUAUCUUUGCCUGAGAGCCCUUUUAAUUCUGAAAUUGUGAUAAUUCGGAAGGAGGGGGUUUACCUUUUCCAUUUCACAGGAGGCUUUUGCCUUCCUUCACAGACUCCCGUCUUUUCAAACCAAGACAAGGACUUUGGCUAAAUUUUGUCCAUAGGGGAAAGAAACUGUGAUAUAUUUGAAACCUUGAACUAUCUCCCUAUACAGUGCAUCAUAUGAUGCAAGGCAUCAUAAUGUUUCAGGGGUGUUUUAUUUUGUUUACUUGCAAAAAGCUCCUUGGAAGCACACUUAAUGUGUCUGUGUUAGCUCUGGGUCAACAAAGUCCUCCUAUCUUUGUGUUGAUAGUGGUAAAAAGCAGUUUAUUCACUUUUGCUUUUUAACACUUUUAUAAAUCAAGAUACAAACAUGCCAGAAAAAGGCUUUUUAAGCAAUGCAAAUGGAGAUAGAAACAAACAACUCAUUGAGUUAAUUUACAUGUCAUGAAGAGAAUUUAAAAGGCCUUUAAGCUUUGCCUACCACUUUUCAAAAAUAUUUCUCUUGCAAUUCAGUUUCUCUUUGAAAGCACUUUCAAGAAUAAAUAAAACUAAUUCAAGUGUUCCAUUAAAAUAUCUAGGGUUGUUGCUGGGUUUUUUGUUUGUUUUGGUUUUGGUUUUGGUUGUUUUUUUUAAUUGAAAAAUUUAUUUGAUAUUUUGGCUUUUUUACCCUUUGGCAUGUUGAAUUAGAUGCCAGCUUGCUCUCAGAAGCAGUCACCAAUCACACUGAGAAGUAUCAAAUCCAAAACCUCAUCUAAAGUGGAAGGGACCAUGGGAAUUAAUGAGGACUGUGGAAUCAGUCUGAUCAAGGACCCUGUCAGUCAUACAAAUUACAGGUCUAAGAACAUAAUCUCUCUAUAGCAACCUGUGUCAUAUAUAGAAAUGUUUUAUCAAAAGAACCUGAACUUUCUGUACAUUUCAAUGUCACCAGGAGUUAUUAAAAAGAAAAAAAAGUUUUAAUAUGAUCUCCUCAAGUCUGGAAGUGUGACAAACUGGUCUUGAACCUUACAAACCUGAAGUAAUUUUCCUAAAUACUGCUAGGAAAUCAUGUAAACCCUCUGUGCAGUGGUGCCCCAUCAGUAAAAGAGAAAGGCA